GGGGGGAGGGAUAGCAUUAGGAGAUAUACCUAAUGAUAAAUGACGAGUUAAUGGGUGCAGCACACCAACAUGGCACAUGUAUACAUAUGUAACAAACCUGCACAUUGUGCACAUGUACCCUAAAACUUAAAGUAUAAUAAUAAUAAAACUAAAUAAAUAAAUAAAUCUACGGGUGGAUUUUUCAGAUGCACUGGCAGAGCAAAUAUCGGUUUUAUAUAAAAAGUCAGCAUAAGCCAAUUGGAGAAAUGUGAGGGAAUGCUUCUAACUACUUCAUUACAUCCUAAUCACAAAAGCAGAAAGGACAAUGGAUAAAGACAAAAGCAAAUGUACAUUAUCACAUUUUGGCCCUAUACAACUAUUAGGACAAGAGAGGAAGGAGAAAAGCAGGCCCACGUCAGUUUAAAAAUGCCAUACACUGCACUCCAGGUCUGGUAAUCUGGCUCAACCAGAUUGAGGCUGGUAACCUGGCUCAACCAGUUCUGCGAUUUCACCCAAGAACAGAAGACAGCAAGAGAAACUCACUUUGACCCCCUAUGAUUCCAUCUCCAACCCGACCAAUCAGCACACCCCACUUCCCAAGCCUCUCCCCACCAAAUUAUCCUUAAAAACUCUGAUCCCGGGGAAGGCUUGGAAAGACAGAUUUG
RNAcentral lists this long non-coding RNA (644 nucleotides) under Homo sapiens (human). RNAcentral's name for it is "novel transcript". The record is from RNAcentral. Lineage: Eukaryota; Metazoa; Chordata; Mammalia; Primates; Hominidae.